RNAcentral lists this ribosomal RNA (253 nucleotides) under uncultured bacterium. Its description in RNAcentral is "partial 16S ribosomal RNA". It matches the Rfam family "Bacterial small subunit ribosomal RNA", at positions 524 to 776 of the family's 1533-position model. The record is from RNAcentral.
UACGUAGGAGGCAAGCGUUGUCCGGAAUUACUGGGCGUAAAGCGCGUGUAGGUGGUGGGACAAGUCUGCUGUGAAAGCGCCUGGCUUAACCGGGCGAGGUCGGCGGAAACUGUCCGACUCGAGGACGGUAGAGGAGGGUGGAAUUCCCGGUGUAGUGGUGAAAUGCGUAGAGAUCGGGAGGAACACCUGUGGCGAAGGCGGCCCCCUGGGCCGGCCCUGACACUGAGACGCGAAGGCGUGGGGAGCGAACGGG